GCCUCGGUUGUGUAGUGGUAGCACUCGCCUCCGGCAUAGGCGGAACGCGGGUUCAACUCUCGCCUGAAGUU
Molecule: non-coding RNA, 71 nt
Organism: Parelaphostrongylus tenuis
Lineage: Eukaryota; Metazoa; Nematoda; Chromadorea; Rhabditida; Metastrongylidae
Source: the annotation of a GenBank genome assembly